GUGUGGCCCAGACAGGGCACUGUCUGUGGCCCCAGGGGUUGAGGACCCCUGGCUUUAACAACAGAAAGGUACCAUCUUACAGUUCUGGAGGCCAAAGUCUGAUAUCCAGACCCCAGUUACUGGAUUGGGAUCCACCCUCACUCAAUAUGGCCUCAGCUUAAUGAAAGACAUCUGCAGAGACCCUAUUUCUACUAAAAGCCACAUUCUGAGACUUCUCGUGGGCGUGCUUUGGAGGCCAGAGUGCAUGCGUACGGGCCCUGCACACGCUGAAUGUCACUGGGAACAAGGACACACCCCGCUUCCAGGAGAAGAUAGAACAUGUCGACCCCUUUUAGCCAUCCCCAGUGCAGGACAUGCUAUUGACUUCCAUGAGACAAACACCUACUUGGAAAUCAGGUUUUUUCUGUACCUUUUGAAGGAGCAGGAAUUUCCCAGCAUUUCCUGGACAAAGACGGAGGCCACAUUCGCUGCAUCCUUUCCAGCAAGAUGUCAUUCUGAGAUUUUUGUCAUUCCUGGGCGUUAUGAGGACUGCCAAGGGACACAAUUCCAUGGGAGGAAAGUUUUCUUCUAAGCUGCAAGCCAGCUCUGGCUUCUGGAGUUUCUCCUUAGGAUUGCAAGACAGUAGUUCCCUGUCCUUUAGGUCUUCUCCAGAAAUACCUUAAAAUAGCAAAUAAAAUAAGAUAUAAGCAAACAAAACCUGAAG
Long non-coding RNA from Homo sapiens (human), 703 nucleotides. Ensembl annotates it as S-phase cancer associated transcript 1. Its record names the gene SCAT1. The record is from Ensembl. NCBI's taxonomy places the organism in Eukaryota, Metazoa, Chordata, Mammalia, Primates, Hominidae.